RNAcentral lists this ribosomal RNA (254 nucleotides) under uncultured bacterium. Its description in RNAcentral is "partial small subunit ribosomal RNA". It matches the Rfam family "Bacterial small subunit ribosomal RNA", at positions 26 to 285 of the family's 1533-position model. The record is from RNAcentral.
AGGACGAACGCUGGCGGCGUGCUUAACACAUGCAAGCCGAGCGGAAAGGCCCUUCGGGGUACUCGAGCGGCGAACGGGUGAGUAACACGUGAGUAAUCUGCCCCUAGCUCUGGGAUAGCUCCGGGAAACCGGGAUUAAUACCAGAUACAACCACUUUAGACAUCUCUUGUGGUGGAAAGAAUUUCGGCUAGGGAUGAACUCGCGGCCUAUCAGCUUGUUGGUGAGGUAACGGCUCACCAAGGCGACGACGGGUA